This is a long non-coding RNA of Macaca mulatta (Rhesus monkey), 1262 nucleotides long. RefSeq lists it as uncharacterized. The record is from RefSeq and is a predicted model, not a curated record. NCBI's taxonomy places the organism in Eukaryota, Metazoa, Chordata, Mammalia, Primates, Cercopithecidae.
UGGGAAAGCUCCUCUCUGCUCCUGGGCACUGGGCCUGUGCCAAGCAGCUGAGUCCAAACAAGAGGCCCUGUGGUGUGGUGAGUUCCACAGACCGGCUGGGGCUGGUUCCUGCACGUGUAUUACCCUGGGCAGGCACAGGGCUGUCGGAGGAAACCCCCAAUAGCACCUACACAUCUAUGAUGGCAGAGGAGGACCACAUUUUUGCCUAGUCCGGAGACCUCAAUGCUCCACGCCAUGGUGGCUGCGUGCACACCCCUGCACAUGCUCCCACCCGAGGAAGAGCGAAGCACACUGCAGAGGUUCACACUCACCCUCCAACGCAGCCUGCUUCCGGGCGUGAUGUGGCAGCUCAUGGCUUCCCUGGGAUUCACGAGGCCCUGGGAUGCAGACGGAGCAGGUGGGUGGAGCCUGGAGGAGGAUGGAGGAGAAGAAGUGGAGCCCCUGUGGGGCAGGGUCGCCAUUCGUCUGCCUCUCUGGACCAGGGUUGCUCCUCCAGGCUAAGGCUGGCUGCCCAGGAGGCUGUGCUGGGCCUGGAGUCAACAAGGAUGCACGUGCUGGGGGCCAUCAGCUGCUGCUCCCAUAUAAGCAUCUGCUCCCACCAAACCCACAGGGCUUGGCUGCCAGGCCUUGCUGUGUGCCCACUCCGUGGCUCUGUUCUUUGUCUCUGUUGUUCCAUCUGCCUGCUCCACCGGCUGCCUGGCUCAGCUCCUCUCGGCCUCUUUAUUUCUCUCGGAAUCUUCUUCCUGCUCCUCAUGUCGCCUCAUCCUUCUCCCUGUCUCUGUCCCUGGCACAUUCAUGCCCUGGUGUCCGAGACCUUCUUUCCUCCUCUGGCCUUAUCAGUCAUGCCUCUGUGUGCUUCUCUGCGUUCGCCCCAUGUUCAUUCUCCUGCUCUCUCUCUUGCUUCCUCUCAUGCAUAUUCAGUAGCUCCUUGAAAACCCACCUAGCUUAUUCUGCGUGUUAAAUGCCUAGAUCUGCUUCAGGCGUGAGACUUUUUAGCCUCUAGCUCUAGGACGCCACCUCAGAUCACAGUCUGUACUAAUUGUGUAGAGGAUGUUGGGGAGCCCACCUACCUUCCACCCAAACGUGGCUCACUCUGCAUGGUCUCCUCUUCUGACUUGAGACAAGGCAGCCCCGAGGUGCGUCAGGCCCACAGCACAAGCCAUGGCGCAUAGGAGGACGAGGACGAGGACAAGGACGAGGACGUCUCCCCUUAAAGAUCCCAGGGCUUCAGUCCUGGAAAUAAACAUAGGAUCCAAAGUGUC